Molecule: non-coding RNA, 73 nt
Organism: Otolemur garnettii (small-eared galago)
Lineage: Eukaryota; Metazoa; Chordata; Mammalia; Primates; Galagidae
Source: Rfam
GAACCUGUGGCUCAGUGAGUAGGGCGCUGGCCUCAUAUGCCGGAAGUGGUAGGUUCAAACCUAGCCCUGGCCA